AGCGCGGGAAGCGAGCGGAUCCCUUCGGGGUGAAGCUCGUGGAACGAGCGGCGGACGGGUGAGUAACACGUGGGCAACCUGCCUGUAAGACCGGAAUAACCCCGGGAAACCGGGGCUAAUGCCGGGUAAUACUUUUCUUCGCAUGAAGGAAAGUUGAAAGAUGGCUUCUCGCUAUCACUUACAGAUGGGCCCGCGGCGCAUUAGCUAGUUGGUGAGGUAACGGCUCACCAAGGCGACGAUGCGUAGCCGACCUGAGAGGGUGAUCGGCCACACUGGGACUGAGACACGGCCCAGACUCCUACGGGAGGCAGCAGUAGGGAAUCUUCCGCAAUGGACGAAAGUCUGACGGAGCAACGCCGCGUGAACGAUGAAGGUCUUCGGAUCGUAAAGUUCUGUUGUUAGGGAAGAACAAGUACCGUGCGAAUAGAGCGGUACCUUGACGGUACCUAACGAGGAAGCCCCGGCUAACUACGUGCCAGCAGCCGCGGUAAUACGUAGGGGGCAAGCGUUGUCCGGAAUUAUUGGGCGUAAAGCGCGCGCAGGCGGUUCCUUAAGUCUGAUGUGAAAGCCCACGGCUCAACCGUGGAGGGUCAUUGGAAACUGGGGAACUUGAGGACAGAAGAGGAGAGUGGAAUUCCACGUGUAGCGGUGAAAUGCGUAGAUAUGUGGAGGAACACCAGUGGCGAAGGCG
RNAcentral lists this ribosomal RNA (691 nucleotides) under Halobacillus sp. YIM 94280. Its description in RNAcentral is "bacterial SSU rRNA". It matches the Rfam family "Bacterial small subunit ribosomal RNA", at positions 52 to 723 of the family's 1533-position model. Lineage: Bacteria; Bacillati; Bacillota; Bacilli; Caryophanales; Bacillaceae. The record is from RNAcentral.